UGUCGCUCUCUCACCCAGGCUGGAGUGCAGUGGCGCUAUCUUGGCUCACUGCAACAUCUGCUUCCCAGGUUCAAGUGAUUAUCCUGCCUCAGCCUCCCAAGUUGCUGGGAUUACAGGCGUGUGCCACCACGCCUGGCUAAUUUACUAAACUAAUAAAUUACUAAAUUAGUAAGUUACUAGUAAAUUAGUAAUUACUAAAAUAUAAUUUUUAGUAGAGAUGGGAUUUCAUCAUGUUGGCCAGGCUGGUCAUGAACUCCUGACCUCAAUGGAUCCUCCUGCCUCAGCUUCCUGAGUAGCUGGGACCACAGGUGCACACCACCACGCCCAGGUAAUUAAUUUUUAUUUUUUGUAGAGUCGGGGGUCUCCCUAUGUUUCCCAGGCUGGCCUCGAACUCCUGACCUCAAGUGAUCCUCCCACCUCAGCCUCCCCGAGUGCUGGGAUUAAAGACGUGAGCCACGGCACCUGGCCUGAAUUUUCCUCAAAUUCAAAAAAUCCUGAUGAAGGUUUGGCUAAAAUCUUUGGUGAGUUACCCCACUCCCUGUGGAACCUCAGGCUGGAUUUGAAGAGUUGCGUGCAUGGUCCUCAUUGUCUCCCAGGUAACCUGUUCCCGCUGCUGUGAAGGGAAGGCAGGUGCUCUUCCUUGAGGCUAGAAUCUGUCUACGUGUCACAGUCUCAGGAAAUUAAGCAAAACAGAUGAUAAACACCUCAAAAGGACCCUACUGAGCAUCAGUGGAGCAGAGCAGGGCCAUGUGGGACUGCGGCGUCAGAUGCCACCUCACACUAGCUGUGACACACCUGCCUCGCCAGUUUCUGCUCUGAGGCCCCAAAGCCGAGCUGAACCUCCUCCAGGGGUUCUCAGCCCUAACUGAGCAUGAAAACCCCUGGGGCAAUCCUCUUUUUAACAAUUGAGACAUUCCACACACACCCCACAUCAGAUUUUGGGGUGUGGGGAUAGACCUUCACAUUUGUAGUUUUCUAACCCUCCAGGGGACACUAGGCUGAGACUCAUUGGUCUCCACUCUGAACCUUCCACUGAACAUGUGAGAAAAACUAAGGCCCAGGGAAGUCUUUAGCAGAGAGCUGAGACGGAGAAAAGGGUUCUGAACCACAGCUGUCUGCUGAAGGAAGCUGUCCAAAGGCCAGUGAAGUCUCUCCUGAGGGUGCCUGGGCUGUGCAUCAGGAGUGAAGGUUGAGGGUCACCUUAGGUGUGAGAAGGAGCAACUGGGAGAGUGGCGCUGAUGCUUCCCCCCGGGUUAGGAGGCAUUUGGAUCACAGAGCGAUGCCUGUUCAUUCCUGCUUGCAAGGGAGCAGAUCUCUCGACACCCGAUGGGCCUCUAUUCCGUUCCGGCAGCUGUCCGUGUCAGGAGCGCUGGGCUUGCUCCUCCCCACGGGAGCCAUCACAGAGGCCUCGGGCAGUCUGCAUAGACAACUGCCUGGCAGGUGACCAGGAGGGGAUGCAUGAGCAGAUGCAGGUAGCACUCGCAGUCCCCCUAGCUGUGCCCUCAGCACCUGCUGUCUAGGAGGCAGAAGCCUUGUUCUCGGCCUUGCAGGUGACCCCAGUGUCUCUGAAUUCGGCCCCAUAUGUGUAGGAGGGGAGUGAUUGCAUCUGAAGAUGGGAGUCUGGUUGGGGGUUUGGGAAGCUCCCAUCACCCCUCAAGAGUCCACUGACCAGCCCAGCUCACACCAGGUGGGCCUUGGCACUGGAGGCCACGGCUCAACUCUGCAGUUCCCUCUGGGCAGCAUUUCCAGGGACUCGUAGGUCAGCAUGGUCAUCAAGGACAGGUGGUGAGAGCAGCUCCUCAUUGUCCUGGUGACCCCGAUGGUUCAUUUUCUGGUGUCUCUGUGGUGAGCUCCUGUUACAUCAAGCGAGUGGAAACCACCGAGGACCAACAGCCCUGGAAAUGCACUGAGAAUGCAGGAUGAGUGGGCUUUGUGAGGACUGUUUUCUGUGACUUAGCAAGGAAAGCCUGGAAGGGAAAGUAAAACUGCUUCUUCCCAGGGAAGCCAGAAACCUGAGAACUUAAAAGGGAAGGAGAACUUAAUAUAUUUCAAAAAUGUAACCCUUGUGAAUUAGCAACAGCUUUAUAAACAAAGAGAUUUCCGAGCUUAUAGAAUCUAUUCUGCUUUGUUUCUGCCCCCAUGGCUCCUACCCCUGUUUUUGUGGGUACAAUUUUCAUAUAGAACAUUUUUACACAAGCUUCAAAACUCUCUGAGGACAGCUUUCCCCUUUGUGUCUGUCGGGUCCCAGGCAGUCACAUCCCAGGAAGUGCUGGGGUUGGGCUCCUUGCUCCACAUCCUUCUUCAGUGGCACGAAGCGUGGGGUGGAGUGUGUGAGUCAUGUGUGAUCUUGGUGUGGGCUAUGGCUGGUCUGCAGCACCCCUUCAAUGACUGCUUCAAGGGCUUUUCAUGAUGCUUGUAGCUCAUGAGCUAGUGUUUCCUAGAUGCUGUUUCCAGGUGUCUUGCAUGUCACACACUGGCCUACCAGGGCUGGAGUGAGAUCAUGAGCGCCAGAUUGUUGGUGAAGGAAGUUGACAGAGACAUCGAAUGUCGGUGAACAGGAGUGACCUUGGGUCUCAAUAAAUACUGUGGUCAACUGAAUCCAGAACCCACCCUUACCAGCAGGGCCCACUUCUUCCCCAGCAGGCCGAGCUCUUCCCCUCCUGUCUUCCCUGGCCCUUGCUUUGUAGCUCUGUGUGGCUGUGUCAUGUCUGGUUGUAUCUGUAUAUACUUCUGCCUCUCCCGCUAUCUAGAUGGCUCGGGGAGGCACACCACACACCAGGUCACCUUCCUCUCUGAACCCCCAGCACCUCAUACUGUUUCUGUGCAGAGAUAAGGCUGGGUGAAAGCUUGUGUGAAUGAUCUGAAGUCUUCUACUCUAGGCCAGUCUCCAGGAGCAUUAUGAUCUUUAGGAGGGUGGGCUUGGUUCCUCUGUACAAUAAUGGGUCAUAAAACUGAGUGGUCAAGAUCAUCCCGGUGAGGGCAGUCCGUGUGUUGCCAUAGUUGCUGUACCGGUUAAGAAUGCACCUGGCUGCAAUUUCCUGAAAACCUGACGUAUAGUGGCUUAAACAAAGAGUGGUUUAUUUUCCUUCUGUCAUAGCAAUCUGGGGGAGGCCACUGUGGCUUUGGCGCAGGAGGUCGGGAAAGGCCCGCUUCUCUGAUAUCAUUGGGGGCCUCCCCAGUGCUUGUGUGGCAGAAUGACAAGAGGAAGAAGAAGGAGAAUUAUGGCACUGAGUAUCAUGAGAUUUGGGGUCAUAUAUCUUUAGUGGGCGGUGUUUGCUGCCCCAAAUGUCUCAUGCCAUUAAAAUGUUCUGGAAAUGAUUUAGGUAGUUGGAGUUUCCUUCCCAAAGACAAGGCAUUUACAGCAUGAUGUCCAAUAUCCAUUGAGUUUGUGUCAUGCAUUCAUUGUAUUCAUAGUCUGCUUUAGGUACUUAGCAAAAUAUUGCUGAUAUUAACAUGCCUUUGUUUGCUUCACUGGAGAUGAAAUUGUGCUCCAAGUGUUUUCCAAGGUUCCGUAUGACCCAUCAUUUGAUGAAACAAGAACAGCAGUCAGAUCCAUUACAAAGAGAGACACACAAAAAAACUAUGUGAAAAUGAGCUUAGCCCCUGGUGUUGUGUUGGAACUUCAGAUGCUUGCAGACACUUCAUGAAUGCUCUGUGACACUCAGAAUAGGCUAUUCCCAACAGAAGAGCUUGAACAAUGCUGCAUUUGCAUCAGGUUCAAAUGAGCGAGAGGAACAUUUGGCUAAAAUAUUUGAUGAAAUUCUACUGCAGGUGUUUCCAAAGUUUCCGUAUGACCCAUCAUUUAACGAAGCAACAGCAGUCAGAUCCAUUACAAAGACAGACAUGAGAAAAGGAACCAGCAUUGCUUGGAAUUCUCCUAAACCAGAAUAUUUCCUUGGCAGUGUGGACAAAAUUCCUGAUAAAGAGAUGGGGUUUCACUGUGUUAGCCAGGAUGGUCUCGAUCUCCUGACCUCAUGAUCCGCCCGCCUCGGCCUCCCAAAGUGCUGGGAUUACAGGCGUGAACCACCAUGCCCGGCCCAGAAUGUCCUUUCUUUUCGAAGCGGAGUAAUAUUCCAUUAUCACCUUUCAGAGGAGAAGAAUUUUAAAGAAUCCUGUCUGUUCGACAGGGAUUUAAGAGAGCAGUUAACUACUAUAGAUAAAGAAACACUUCAAGGAGCAGCUAAACCAGAUGCUCACUUUAGGACUAUGCCCUGCGGGCAGCUUCUGCACUUCCUGCAGAGGAACACCAUCAUCGCCGCCGUCUCAGGGGUGGCCAUCCUCAUGGCCAUCGUGCUGUUGCUGCUUGGGUUGGCCUCAUACAUCAGGAAGAAACAGCCAUCAUCUCCUCUGGCAAACACGACAUAUAAUAUUUUUAUAAUGGAUGGAAAGACAUGGUGGCACAAUUCUGAAGAAAAAAAUUUCACAAAACUUGCAAAAAAACAGAAACAGUUGAAGAGCAGCUCCUGUGUCUAAGCCAGGUCGUGGGGCCGUCAAACCAGGACUUGAAACCACAAUGCGAGGACAUUCUCCAUCUGCGCACCACAGGGAGGCAAUUCCAUUUCUGCCCGGGAGGUGUAUUCUACAAAAACGUCUGCUUCCCAUCCCAAUUUGAAUGGACCAAGAAAAACUGCUUUACCAUAGGACACUUGUGGCAAUAUGGCACCGAUGGCUGGCGUCGGUGAACCCGACAGACUAUGGAUUUAUCAUUUAAUAAAGCAUUGAUUCAUUUUUUCAGUCAUUCAUUGAACAGAUAUUAAUAGACCACCUCACAUGCUGACAAUAUCAAAAUACAAUGAGGAAACUAACAGUGACCCAGGCAUGCAUUCUUCCCCGAGCAAGAUCACAGUCCAUGGUGUGAGCACAACCAUACUAAAUAGCUUUUAUGGGAGGUGGGAGUACAGAAAGUAUUAUAUCUGCAAAGAAACUGCUAAGAAUUGUGGGAGCGCCCCAGGAGGUGAUUUCCUGCUUGCGUGACCAGCACAAAGAAAUGGGGUAAUUGAGAGUGUCAUGAAGUGGGGUUAUUUAUUUAUUGAGUC
This 5036-nucleotide long non-coding RNA is filed under the name Homo sapiens (human). RNAcentral's name for it is "HSALNT0036164". The record is from RNAcentral. Lineage: Eukaryota; Metazoa; Chordata; Mammalia; Primates; Hominidae.